This 225-nucleotide long non-coding RNA is filed under the name Capsicum annuum. RNAcentral describes it as "long non-coding RNA (CANN_LNC002601)". The record is from RNAcentral. Lineage: Eukaryota; Viridiplantae; Streptophyta; Magnoliopsida; Solanales; Solanaceae.
GAGUGUGUAAGUCAAGAUUGGUGAAAAUUACAUUACUUAUUCCGGCUAGAAGGUUUAUGGGAAAAUGGUGUACAAUAUUUUUAGCUCAUCUCUGGGAUGUGGGUAUGGGGUCUCCUUCUAUAGAGUCAGUUUUGGUAGUUUUCGAAUUUCAAGAUAUGUUCUCUUCAAAACUAUCGAGAAUGACUCUAGAUAAGAUAUCAAUUUCUAUAUUAACUUAGAUCCAGG